Molecule: transfer RNA, 73 nt
Filed under: Danionella translucida
Lineage: Eukaryota; Metazoa; Chordata; Actinopteri; Cypriniformes; Danionidae
Also listed under: 1 other name
Rfam family: tRNA
About the family: Transfer RNA (tRNA) molecules are approximately 80 nucleotides in length. Their secondary structure includes four short double-helical elements and three loops (D, anti-codon, and T loops).
Source: Rfam by way of RNAcentral
GGCUCGUUUGUCAAGGGUUAUGGAUUCUUGCUUCGGGUGCGAGAGGUCUCGGGUUCAAAUCACGGACGAGCCC